RNAcentral lists this ribosomal RNA (492 nucleotides) under uncultured bacterium. Its description in RNAcentral is "partial 16S ribosomal RNA". It matches the Rfam family "Bacterial small subunit ribosomal RNA", at positions 29 to 507 of the family's 1533-position model. The record is from RNAcentral.
AGUGAACGCUGGCGGUAGGCCUAACACAUGCAAGUCGAACGGCAGCACAGUAAGAGCUUGCUCUUACGGGUGGCGAGUGGCGGACGGGUGAGGAAUUCAUCGGAAUCUACUUUUUCGUGGGGGAUAACGUAGGGAAACUUACGCUAAUACCGCAUACGACCUACGGGUGAAAGCAGGGGAUCUUCGGACCUUGCGCGAUUGAAUGAGCCGAUGUCGGAUUAGCUUGUUGGCGGGGUAAAGGCCCACCAAGGCGACGAUCCGUAGCUGGUCUGAGAGGAUGAUCAGCCACACUGGAACUGAGACACGGUCCAGACUCCUACGGGAGGCAGCAGUGGGGAAUAUUGGACAAUGGGCGCAAGCCUGAUCCAGCCAUACCGCGUGGGUGAAGAAGGCCUUCGGGUUGUAAAGCCCUUUUGUUGGGAAAGAAAAGCAGCAGGUUAAUACCCCGCUGUUCUGACGGUACCCAAAGAAUAAGCACCGGCUAACUUCGUG